RNAcentral lists this ribosomal RNA (115 nucleotides) under Rhodospirillaceae bacterium. Lineage: Bacteria; Pseudomonadati; Pseudomonadota; Alphaproteobacteria; Rhodospirillales; Rhodospirillaceae. The record is from RNAcentral.
CCUGGUGGUUAUGGCGAGGACGAAACACCCGAUCCCAUCCCGAACUCGGACGUGAAAAGCCUCAGCGCCGAUGGUACUGCAUCUUAAGGUGUGGGAGAGUAGGUCGCUGCCAGGU